Molecule: long non-coding RNA, 199 nt
Filed under: Elaeis guineensis (African oil palm)
Lineage: Eukaryota; Viridiplantae; Streptophyta; Magnoliopsida; Arecales; Arecaceae
Description: long non-coding RNA (EGUI_LNC076086)
Source: RNAcentral
CGGAUCACGACUCCACCCCUGGAAGAUCCCUGCCCCCGUUCUGCCAAAGGACCCUCGAGACUCGAAGUCGAGAGGAUUUCCUGGACCGAAGGCUCCAGGAGAUGAACCGGCGGAUCGAAGAACUCCGCCACGCACCUCCCGCUUAUGGUGAGGAUAUUUGCACUGACCCUCCUUUCUCCCAAAUGAUUAUGCAGGAAUC